CCUACGGGUGUCAGCAGUGAGGAAUAUUGGUCAAUGGGCGGGAGCCUGAACCAGCCAAGUCGCGUGAGGGAAGACGGUCCUACUGAUUGUAAACCUCUUUUGCCGGGGAGCAACGGGGUCCUUGCGAGAGCCCUAUGAGAGUACCCGGAGAAAAGGCAUCGGCUAACUCCGUGCCAGCAGCCGCGGUAAUACGGAGGAUGCGAGCGUUAUCCGGCUUUAUUGGGUUUAAAGGGUGCUGAGGCGGGCUGUAAAGUCACCGGUAAAAUGUCGGGGCUCAACCCCGGCCUGCCGUUGAAACUGGCGGCCUCGAGUGGGCGAGAAGUAUGCGGAAUGCGUGGUGUAGCGGUGAAAUGCAUAGAUAUCACGCAGAACUCCGAUUGCGAAGGCAGCAUACCGGCGCCCGACUGACGCUGAGGCACGAAAGCGUGGGUAUCGAACAGGAUUAGAUACCCGAGUAGUC
Molecule: ribosomal RNA, 460 nt
Filed under: uncultured bacterium
Lineage: Bacteria
Description: partial 16S ribosomal RNA
Rfam family: Bacterial small subunit ribosomal RNA
Source: RNAcentral